RNAcentral lists this transfer RNA (86 nucleotides) under Myxococcales bacterium. Its description in RNAcentral is "tRNA-Ser". Lineage: Bacteria; Pseudomonadati; Myxococcota; Myxococcia; Myxococcales. The record is from RNAcentral.
GGAGGGCAAAGUGACGGUGGCGUCACGGCCGGCCGCUACCCGGCAGACGCUUCGGCGUUGGGGUUCGACUCCUCUGUCCUCCGCCA